GUAUAACUGAAUCACUUUGCUAUAUACCUAAAACUAACAUGACAUUGUAAAUUAACUAUACUUCAAUAAAAUUUUUUUUAAGAUACUAAGUACAACACAUCAAAAGAAAAAAGAGUGAUAACCUCUCAGGGAUGAAAAGAGUGCAUCCAGGUCAAGACAAGUCGAGGCGAACCUUGAUCACACGUUGGCCCUCUUGUCAGUGAAAUUCAACCAUCCAGGAAGAAGGACUCAAAGGAAGCAAAACUACUGAAAGAGGUGACAGUGGUCUGUGGCAAGAGCACGCACAUCAGCAGUGAAAGGAAAAAGGAAAAACAAGUGAAAGGACACAGAAGCCCGAGGACCCCGAGCUCCCGCAUCUUGUGGGCGGACUGUGUACAGUGAGCCGUCAGGGAAUGCCGCCCACGGAAUGUCACAUCUUGCCCUCAGCAGGUCAGCCCCUUGUCUAUUUGCAAAAUUCUCAAUAAUUCCAUUAUCCAAUUACAGAAGGAAAUAAACAAUAUCGUCCAGAGGAAAUUAGUCAGACAUUUCCUGUUUUCCAGCUCAAUAAGAUCCAGGACUGUCAGCUGUAAAGUGAGGUGAACUUACUACAAAUGGAAGGAGUUGAACCACAGGCCUGAAGCAAGAUUUCUGAACACACCCUACAGAGCAGGUUAAACUACAAACGCCGAAGCAAGAAUAUGGGCCCCGUCCACCUCUCUUACUCUACGAGUCCUCUCCUCUGUGUAAACACCAGACUGCUUUAUACCCAUCAACGGAAAGC
This 760-nucleotide long non-coding RNA is filed under the name Capra hircus (goat). Its description in RNAcentral is "lncRNA (ENSCHIG00000004585.1)". The record is from RNAcentral. Lineage: Eukaryota; Metazoa; Chordata; Mammalia; Artiodactyla; Bovidae.